This 3215-nucleotide long non-coding RNA is filed under the name Sus scrofa (pig). RNAcentral describes it as "lncRNA (ENSSSCG00005027406.1)". Lineage: Eukaryota; Metazoa; Chordata; Mammalia; Artiodactyla; Suidae. The record is from RNAcentral.
GGCAGGAAAAUAAGCUUAUGUUGAUUCUUUCCCAACUCCACUAUGAUAUUAAGGGUAAAAGAAAUACUCUCCUAAGCUGAAUCCUGAUUUAAUUAGGCAAGCUCUUUAAAAGAAGGCUUAGGGUCUUCUCUGAGAUCAGAGAUUCUCCUGCUGGCCUUGAUGAAGCAAGAUGCUAUCGGUCCUGCAUCUGUAAGAAAAUGGAUUCUGCCUUAGGAUCAUGGAGGAGGACCUCGAGCUUUGAUAAGGCAGUGGCCCUGGCUGACAUCCUGACUGCAGCCUUGUGAGGUCCUGAGCACAGGCCCUAUCUAGGCUGUACCUGGACACCUAACCCACAGAAAUAGUCAAAAAUGUACUUUUUGGAGUUCCCGUUGUGGUGCAGUGGUUAACGAAUCCAACUAGGAACCAUGAGGUUUCGGGUUCGGUCCCUGCCCUUGCUCAGUGGGUUAAUGAUCCGGCGUUGCUGUGAGCUGUGGUGUAGGUUGCAGACGCGGCUCGGAUCCCGCGUUGCUGUGGCUCUGGCGGCAACGCCGGAUCCUUAACCCACUGAGCAAGGCCAGGGAUAGAACCCACAACAUUGUUCCUCGUCGGAUUCGUUAACCACUGAGCCACGAUGUGAACUCCCUACAUGGUUGUUUUAAAGCUGUAAGUUUGUGAUAUGUCAGACACCAAAAGACUUCUCUAAACUUAUUCUCUGAAGUGCUGCUUUAAUUUUCUCUCUUUUGGCUUUUUAGGGCCAUACCCACAGCACAUGGAGGUUCCCAGGCUAGGGGUCAAAUCCAAGCUAGAGCUGCCAGUCUACACCACAGCCACGGCAAUGCAGGAUCUGAGCUGAAUCUGUGACCACAGCUCAUGGCAACUCCAGAUCCUUAACCCACUGAGCAAGGACAGAGAUUGAACCUGCAACCUCAUGGUUCCUAGUCAGAUUCAUUUCCACUGUGCCACAAUGGAGACUCCAAAUUUUCUCUUCAGAGAGGCAAUGGAAAAAAUUCAAAUACGAUGUCUUACAAAUUAAUGUCAAUAAAUCAUGUUACAAUGCAAUUACACCUUUAAAGAAACAAAACCCCUAUAAAUUAGUUAUUGAGGUAAUAAGCAUAAAUUUAGUGUUAAGGAAAAUUAUCUUUAAAAGAUAUACUUUAGACUGGAGCUACCUAUACACAUUGCAAUUUAACAUUCUUAUUUUUACAGCAUCUGAGAAGGCCUCAGUGUUCCAAAAAGGCAGUUCAAGAGAUGAAAAGUGAAGAACAUCAAGCUUAUUAAAACUUAAUUAUUCCAUUUUUUCUCAGCACAAUUGCUCUAUAUUAAAAAUAAGUCGGUUUACUAGAUUAGUGGAGAAAAACAAAGUUGUGUUUUAAUCAGUUAAAUAUGGUGAACUGUUAACUGUGCUAAAAUAAAUUUUAGACAUGGAAAAGUCCUUCCUGGAAUUCUAUUAGAAAAAUCAAUGUCCUGUAUGAGACUACAAGUAAACGACCAGCCCUUAUACUCAUCAAGCAGCCCUGGUACUCAUAGACACUAGUAUCAUUCAGAACUAGUAUGGAUUUAAGAAUAAUUAUUCUAUACAAUCAUUUAGCCUGUUAUAACCCUCACUGGCUUACUUUGACCCAGGCUUCUGUUUACUAAGAAACAUGAAUUAAGCUAAGUACUGUUAUGUUCACCGCCUGGUAACUUAAGAUGUUUGUAAAACCACGCUUUGUGUGCAAUCUAUCAUUUUGAGCCAUAUGUUCAAGUUAUACUAAUACUUAAAACACAGCUCAAGUUGUCUCUCUCAGUCCAUUUUGCUGGAAGAAUGAAAGAAGGUCAAACUCUUGAUUUAGACAUGAGGAAGCAGAAGCAUAGAUAGUGUCACUUGAACAAAUUCAAGUGAUAUGCUAGCUUAGAAUACUAAUAUGUCUAUUUUGAAAUUAAAGAACUUAACAAAUUUCUUCUGCAAUGUUAGGACUAGGUCAAAGCCACUGAGUUUAAUUCUAACUUUAGAUGAAUAUAUAUUUAAAAAAACCACAAAGCACACACACAUAUCCCAUGUAAAACAUUGCUUUAAGUUUUAAUGUUUAUUUCCCCAAGACAGCCUAGCCUGCACUCUACUUGGAUAAAUUUUACAAGCUAGUGUUCUGCUGCUUCUAGUUUAAAACUUGAACCAUGUUUCUGAUGACAAGGAAUGCUGCAAAAAUACUCUAGUUCAACAAAGAGUUAUGAUCACAAAAUAAUUUUUAUCCAUUCUACAGUGUUUCAGAAUUACCAGUUGAUUUUUAAACACAAAGUAGAUAUAGAUGCUAAUGGUGGCUAAUCUGGUAUGUUUCUUAUAGCAAACUGUUGUUCAUGCAACACUUGUGCUCAAAGGGGAAGGCACAGGAUUUCCUACAAUGAGCCACCUUAUAAAGAGUUCUUUUUGUACAAAUUAAUUUAUGUCACAUUUAAUUUAGUGUGCAUAACCUCAAAACUGAGGUAUUAUUCCAAUUUAUAAAAACCACUUGCAUAACUUUUAUGCAAGUUUUAAAAAUACAAAGUUUUCUCCCUAAAGUGGCUCAAAAUAGAUUGUUCAUGGCUGCCUACAUCUAAGAUAAAAAGAUUCUAAAACAAUUGAACAGAUUAGGCAUAUUAUUAAAGGUGUUCAAACCAUUACUUGAUUUGUACAUCUACUCAAACCUCUUCAUCGGUCUUUAUUCAGCAGUACAUAUGCACCAAAUUCCAUUUUAGAAGUUUCCAUAUCAUUUUCAUAGAAAACAAAGUUUGAAAACAAGUAACAUUUAAACACAGCACGGUAUUCUACCACAACUGAAACUUUUUUCUUCUUCUUCUUUACAGGACUCAACAAAAUCUAAAAAUGAACUAUGCUGUAGAUUUACCUCAUGCAAAGAUUUUUAUGUUAUCUCUGAAAAUGAAAAGGAUGGCUUUUUAAAGCACAUUUUACUGGUUUAUACUAUUAUGGCAACUUGUGUACUGCAACACAGUCUAUUUUGAGGGAAAUUUAUGAUUUUUUUUCAUGCAAAAAUCUACACAAAUUAGUUUUGAUGAUAUGGAAAGCUUUUCAUAGCAUCAAACAUUCAUCUGGUGCAAAUGCACAGGGAAACCUUCCUGAAAGUUUUCUGACUUGAGAAGCAACUAAAAAGCCAUACUAGUAAUGUAAAUAAAAACUAAAAACAAAAAACAAAAACCCAAAAAACAAAACAAAAACUAAAACAAAACAAAAAAACAAAAAACAAAACAAAAAAAAAAAAAAA